CACAGUUGCAUGGAUUCACUCUCUGGGCCUUAGGCCUUCCCUCUGGAAAAUGCGAUGAUACUAACCUAGGGCUACAGUGGAGCUCGAAUGAGAAGGCAAGCAUUCCGUACUGCAUGACUCCGAGCUCUCGCAAAUCCUGAACUCCAGGACUUGUUUUCCUACUUUUCUAUCAACCAGUCAACAGAAGUCCUAACAUCAUACCCUUGUACUGACUGGGCUGUGGGGAGCAGCUGAGUGCCGUGAUUUCGAACCCACCUGGGCACUUACUAACUGCAUGGGCAAGUCACUUAACUUUCCAGAGCCUCCAUUCCUUCCCCUGAUAAAUACAAAUAACAGUUAAGGGUUCUCUCGCCUCAUCGCAUUGUUGCAGAGGUGACUGGAGAUUGCCAUUGCAAGUACCUUGCAAACCAAAAACACGAAACGUACUCUGAAAGCCGUGUGAGGACUGCCGCACUGAGGUUUUAUGUCUUCCUUCUCUCCCUCCAUCCCUCCCACCUGCUCUCAGAAAAAGGAACAGAAAUGACUUCUUACUCACACCGGGCGUGAUCCCUGCAGGAGGAAGCUUAACUUUUAGUUGGCAUCAAGGCUUUAAAGUAAGGGAAGGGAAGUGGAAUUUCAGGAGCUGAGGAGUAGGAGGAGAAUUUGGGGGUCAGAGAGCCUUUCUCAGUAAUUGAAAUGGCAUCAUAAGCAAUGGCAUGGAGAGUGCUUUCAAAAGCUCCCUGCGCUCUCCUCUUUGGUCGUUUCUCAUAGAAACUUGAAGAAGAGCCAUUCACUUCUCCUUGAGCCUCAGUUUCCUUCCGCGUGGAAUGAGAGAGUUGGACAUGAAGACCUCUGAGCCUUCUGCUUCUUUCAGAUACCGCGUCUGCUCACCUCACUCCCACACCCGUGGAGGGGACAGAGCCUGGCCACCCAAUGGGGAGCCCUGGGCAGGCCCAGGGUGGGCUCAGGACCACGUGGGCGUCCGGCCCAGGACACUUCAAGAAGAGUUGAGAGAUGUAAGAAAAUCGCCCCAAGUCCUAAGGAGGCAAGAGGCAGAGCCAGGGCACUUUCCACUACACUAAUGGCGGGAAAUUUCACGGGCAGAAUAAACUAUCCCAAGUCUAAUCAGUGAUUUGAACAUAUUGGAAACGUGAGAAAGCAGUGGGCAGGCCAGCGGCGUCAGGGUGACCGUGGGACUAUGAGACUCUCAUACUCUUGGUGGCAGUGAAAGUGUCCCAUCAAAAUACAGUGAGGUGGUGUGCAACCAGGAGGGCCAUGCCCCUUGCCCUGCAUCAGAUGUGUGGGAAUUUUAGGAAACAGCCUCUUGAAUUUCCUUGGAACAAAGUGCUUAAUUGUUGUCAAUUAAGCAUCAAUCGGGAUUUCAAAGAAGCAUUCCAGAAUCAGAAGUGUUUUUUUUGAAAAAACACUCAUAAUUUACAAAUGCGUACCACUCCCUGUCCUCUGUCCUCUCCCAAGCAGUGGAAACAACCGUUGGAGGAUGGUUCUAUCCACUCCACAGGGUAUUUCGUAGCUCUUGAGAAUGACCAUUACAAAGAGUCCUUAAUAACAUAAGGAAGUGUAAAUGCUAUAAGGUCAGAUUCACAACUGUACAGACAAGAUGGUCACAGAUGUUUAAGAGAAAAAAAAGGAACAAAGAAUGCAAGAACCAAAACCAACAUAUAGUAAACAGAUU
Pteropus alecto (black flying fox) is the source of this 1672-nucleotide long non-coding RNA. RefSeq lists it as uncharacterized. NCBI's taxonomy places the organism in Eukaryota, Metazoa, Chordata, Mammalia, Chiroptera, Pteropodidae. The transcript is spliced from 3 exons. The record is from RefSeq and is a predicted model, not a curated record.